This 253-nucleotide ribosomal RNA is filed under the name uncultured bacterium. RNAcentral's name for it is "partial 16S ribosomal RNA". It matches the Rfam family "Bacterial small subunit ribosomal RNA", at positions 524 to 776 of the family's 1533-position model. The record is from RNAcentral.
UACAGAGGGUGCGAGCGUUGUUCGGAAUUAUUGGGCGUAAAGCGCGUGUAGGCGGUGAUGCAUGUCGGGUGUGAAAGCCCUCAGCUCAACUGAGGAAGUGCGCCCGAAACUGCAUCGCUGGAGUGCCGGAGAGGAAGGCGGAAUUCCCGGUGUAGAGGUGAAAUUCGUAGAUAUCGGGAGGAACACCAGUGGCGAAGGCGGCCUUCUGGACGGACACUGACGCUGAGACGCGAAAGCGUGGGUAGCAAACGGG